CACGUAGUUCUCCACCGGGAGGUCAUCUUUCUGAUCAUCAGAACUCCUUGUGUCCUGGUUGUGAGAACACCAAAUAGUAACCACCAAGAGUGCCCUGUGUCCUGGGUGCCAGGUCGGGCACUCUCCCUGGGAUCUCUGAUUGGAUCCUUUUACAUCGAGUCUCUAAGCUCAGGGGACAGCAACACUCACAGGCACAGCCCUCCCUGUUACCCCUGGACCCCAUCUCAGUGACCUCAUGAAGAGCCAAGACCAAAGCCCAGAGUCACAGACACCCUGGACUCACAGCCUCACAGUGGUCAGUGCUUGGACUAGGGGCUUCUAGUCCUCAGGGCAGAGCCUGCUCCUGCCCAGCCAUGGCGCCCACUGGGGCAGCCAGGCCUCUCCUUCCUGGGCCCUUCUCACUACUUCUACUCACAUGGCUGCCUGAGGGAUUCAUGUUGGCACGAGCAGGCUGCGUCUCCACUCCGGUGGGUUUCUUCCCCGAAGUGCCCUGCCAG
RNAcentral lists this long non-coding RNA (497 nucleotides) under Mus caroli (Ryukyu mouse). RNAcentral describes it as "lncRNA (MGP_CAROLIEiJ_G0003285.1)". Lineage: Eukaryota; Metazoa; Chordata; Mammalia; Rodentia; Muridae. The record is from RNAcentral.